GNUUAAUUUGAUCAUGGCUCAGAAUCCCCGCGGGGUGCGCGCUUAACACAUGCAAGUCGAACGAGAAAGUGGAGCAAUCCAUGAGUACAGUGGCGUACGGGUGAGUAACACGUGGGUAAUCUACCUUUUAGUGGGGAAUAACCCUGGGAAACCGGGGCUAAUACCGCAUAAGCUCGAGAGAGGAAAGUCGCAAGACGCUGAAAGAGGAGCCCGCGGCCGAUUAGCUAGUUGGCAGGGUAAAAGCCUACCAAGGCAGAGAUCGGUAGCCGGCCUGAGAGGGCACACGGCCACACUGGCACUUGAAACACGGGGCCCAAGACUCCUACGGGAGGCAGCAGUGGGGAAUCUUGCCAAUGGGGGAAACCCUGAUG
Molecule: ribosomal RNA, 371 nt
Filed under: uncultured bacterium
Lineage: Bacteria
Description: bacterial SSU rRNA
Rfam family: Bacterial small subunit ribosomal RNA
Source: RNAcentral